RNAcentral lists this small nucleolar RNA (139 nucleotides) under Macleaya cordata. Its description in RNAcentral is "Small nucleolar RNA snoR77". It matches the Rfam family "Small nucleolar RNA snoR77". The record is from Rfam by way of RNAcentral. Lineage: Eukaryota; Viridiplantae; Streptophyta; Magnoliopsida; Ranunculales; Papaveraceae.
AGGCAGCCCUCUUGCGAAUGAAAAUCGAUGGCAAGGGAGGUGUUGUUCUGCUCGGAAAUCAAUCUUCUGCUCUUCAGAUUUGCUGAGAUGGGUUUUUACAGUCCAUCUCUGAAGCUGGUCUAGUAAGCUCAAGCACAUU